CGGGGCAGCUCUCAGGUACGGGCAGCUGCAGGCUGUUGUUUCCCACGCCCCAGAUGAUGGCUGAUGAAUCUACAUCUUUGUAAGGGAUCUCUCCGCCACAUCGUCUCCGUGGAACUUGCCGAGGAAGACGGCACCCUGCGCCCCGCUGCCCACCCACUGCAGGUCGGAGAUCUCCUCAAAUGGAACCUCCCAGCUUUCUGAACAGAGACCGGCAAAUAGAAACAAACUAAGAAGAAACAUUCCAUUCAUUUCAGACCCUCCAAUUUGAGUCAAUGGGUUCGGAACGUGCUUCACCACAGAAUGGGCAUCUUGCAACGCGCAGGCUGACAAAUAAUAGCGAUUAAUUAAACAAUUAAUCAAAUUAAUUAAACAGACAGACAAACAAUACUGUGAUUAGCAUAAUCAGCAGUGUUGUUCUUGUUGAAAGAAAAUGAAUGGAUCUGUCUUCCACACCUUAAAUAACAGAGUUCUUGGCCACUAAAGAGAAAUGCAGCAGGCAGAGCCAAAGAGAGAAGCGAAUCUAUUCUUCAUGAGGUCCACUGAAGUGUGAAGCUCUCUGGAGGCCCGCUUUAGCAGAGACGGAUGCACACGACGUUUCCCCAUAGCUAGCUGCUAAAACUCACUCUGUCUGAUUUGUGUCAACAGACAACAGUGGCAAACUGGUGAGAGACAAUCUUUUUUUUUUUUUUUUUUUUUUUUUUUUUUUAUAAAUAUGUUCAUUUAAUCCUCCCAUCAUGUUAGCCCUGAGAGGAUUGUGAGACAGCAUUCAGUCGGGCCUAUUUGGAAAUGUUCUUACUUCAUUUUAGCUGGUCGACGAGUGUAAGAGUGAUGAUGAUGAUGAUGUAACCCUGACAAAAUUGAGGAAAUAUGUUUUUGGCAACGAAGAAAACAGGACUGCUGUUAGCAAACACUUGGAGUCACUAUUUUUAAAAAACAAAGGCCAUGUCCAAAAUCUUGAAAUGCUACUAGAUUGAGACCUGACUUUCAGCGGUCACAUCAAAUGACUUUGAAAAAUAUCUCCAUACUGAAAGGGUUGCAGACCAGAAGAAGCUUUGCCAUGCUUUUAUUUCCAGGGUCAAUUAAUGCAGCCCAGGUUUCCAAGCAAACACGGUGAAGCGGCAUUUAGCUGUUAUGCUACACGCAAAUCGAAUAAGUGAUAUCAGCCCCAAGUAUGAAUGAUUUUAAAUCCAGGUUAAAAACAAAAUUUUAUUUUUCACAUUCCAUCCUUUGAUUUUUUUUAAAUAUUUUGAAACUCAAUUUCGUUUUUUCUUCGCUCUUUUGCUUUUGAAUGUCUUUAAAUCUUUAGUUUGUAAAUAUAUUUAAACAUCAAUCUUCAUUCUUUUAGUAUUUUAACAAAAUAUGAACUUUUGUUCUCUUUGCUCUGCCUUUGAAUAUCUUCGGCUGUUCACAUUGAAUUGGCUUGUGUAUAAAAUGUGCCAAUAUGAA
Syngnathus acus (greater pipefish) is the source of this 1446-nucleotide long non-coding RNA. RefSeq lists it as uncharacterized. The record is from RefSeq and is a predicted model, not a curated record. Lineage: Eukaryota; Metazoa; Chordata; Actinopteri; Syngnathiformes; Syngnathidae. The transcript has 2 exons.